AAGAAAAAGAAAAGAAAAGCAAUUUAUAAGUGCGAGUAAAUUCCCGGUGGGAAUAAUAUUCCGUCGAACGGCAAACGCUCACCUUCAGCCUCAGCCUCAGGCGAUGAAGAAGCCGAGUCAACCCCCCAAAAUCAAGGACAAGAAUGAAUCGCUCCUUCCCAACAACGAAAAGAAACCCCUUUCUUCUUCUUCUCCUUCUACUUCUUCUUCUUCCUCCUCUAUAUCCCCAAACCCAAACCAAAACCCAAACGGCACCGUUCCAGUCCCAAAGAAGAUAACCAGAGAUCUCCCCAAUCUAUCCGAAUGCCACGCUUGCGGGUUGAGAACCGACACCGCCAACCCUAACCCUAAAAGGCAAAGACUCCAAACCUUGCGCAGCGAAUGGCGCAUCGUUCUUCUCUGCAACAAGUGUUUCCUCCGCGUCAACUCCUCCCACAUCUGCUCCUACUGUUUUCUCCAAGCCGACCACUCCUCCUUCCGCUGCCGCCUCUGUAACCGCCGCGUCCACAGCCACUGCUUUCACAACAAUCGGCACGUCGCGCCCUGGUCCUACGCUUCUUCCGAUGAAUUCUCCGUUUGCGUCGAUUGCUGGGUGCCGAAGCCCAUUGCGCUUUCCCGGAGUCGGAGUCGGAGUCAGAGUCAGAACAACUUCAAGGGCAAUUCCGACGAGUCAUCUAGGGUAUUGCCUGAAUUGAGUUCUGUCAAAUCGCUCCAAGACGCGGCCAAUGAUGCCAGUUCUGUGGCCAAGAACAAGAUCGAGGCCGCCGUUAAGGCCAGAGAGGAGGCCGUGAGGAAAGGCUUGAUGGCUAGGAAGGCCGUGGAGUUGGCCAAUACUGCUCUUGAUUUGGUUGCUUCUGACGCUAACAAUAAGGAGGAGGAUGGGGUUUUUAUCGAUGAUGUGGAAUUGGCGUUUCGGUUGCACCGGGUUAUGAAUAGCUCCCCAAGGAUUUCCAGCAACUUUUGCUCCUUGAAUACCAGUUGCUUGGCUAUUGUUCCGAGGUCGGCGGCCUCGGGGAAUCCUAGCGUUUGUGGGAAGCUUCAACUUUGCAGUGACAACAAGUUGUGUGAAAAUCCUGAUAAAAGUGUUUCAGAACCUUCAGUUUGUGUUCGGCCUUCAGAUGGGGAUGGGAAUUCUUCCAAUUCAAAUGGAGAUGACAAUACUAUGGACUCUGCCAAUCUAUCCUCUGGUAAUGAAUGCAAACCUACUACUACUACUACUACUGUGUCUAAGGAUAGAUAUAGGUUUAAGUAUUGUAGAUUCAAGCCUGCUAAUGUGCCUAAGGAUAGAUAUCGGAUUAAGUAUUGUAGAUGCAAGCCUGCUAAUGUGCCUAAGGAUAGAUAUCGGUUUAAGUAUUGUAGAUGCAAACCUGCAAGGCCGAAGGAUAGAUAUCGAGUUAAGUAUUGUAGGAGAAACUUUAGAUUGAAAACACUUGUUGAUUGUAAAGAAUCCAAGUUCUCUUGCGACGGGUUUGACCUGGUUAACGAGUGCUCUGCUUCUGCUCCUGCUCCUGCUCCUGCUCCUGGACUAGUUACGGCUUGUUCCAAUGAAUCGAUGAAAAUUUCCAAUGCUACAUUAUUGCAGUGCUGUGUGGUUCCUUUACAACCUUCUGGUUGUGCAAGUGGUUCAUUUCAAGACCAGUCAUCAAGGCAAUAGGUCCUAAUUGAUAUUGCUUGCUCACUUUGAGAUAACUUUGAUUGGUGAAUCAAAGUUUAAAAAUGCCGUGUGAUAUUCUAUCUCACUAAGUGGCUGAGCUCACCCACUAUCUCUCUCCACCUUUUAAGAUUAGUGUAGUGAACUUUCUGAAGACAACUGGUUAGUGAUUGUCGCAAUUAUACAAGUAGACUACACUUAGAAAAUAUAUAUAUAAAUUGAAUGUUCUGUUAUGAUUUUGGGAUUGUAAACUUGUUAAUUUUUAUUAUUAUUUCAGGAUGUAUUUGGGAGUCUUAAUUUUCAUGUUUUAAGUUCAAUGAAAUGUUGGAAGGUUAACGUUGAAAUAUUGAAAUGACAGUUUUGGUUGUUUAUAUUUUAGGCAUUUAGUUAUGCGCUAUUCUAUUAUUGGAAGUUAGUGUCCCAAAAAUUGCAGGUUUUGUCAUAUUGGCAUUACGCUGUAAAUCAAGUCAAUGAUGAUUUCUAGUUUACCAUAGUGCUGGAUUUCUAUCAAAUUAUGAUGGUUUCUCUUCAUUUCAGUUUUCAAAUUGUUUCUAUUUUCUUUUCCCUUCUGGUUGUCUCUUAGAUUGAAAUGCUAGAGUUUUGAUUAUGUCACAAUGAUUGCUUUU
Quercus lobata is the source of this 2277-nucleotide RNA transcript. RefSeq lists it as uncharacterized. The record is from RefSeq and is a predicted model, not a curated record. NCBI's taxonomy places the organism in Eukaryota, Viridiplantae, Streptophyta, Magnoliopsida, Fagales, Fagaceae. The transcript is spliced from 3 exons.